ACAAGUUGGCUGCUGUCGCCUGCGCAUCGGCGGGCCGGGAGGCUGAGCAGUACUGUUGAGAGCGGUGUGAGGUGCUUGGUAGCGCGCCGUAGCUGCUUCCACGUCCUUGCUUCACCUCAGGUAAAGAGAGAAGUAAUGGAAGGCCUGUCUGAUGUUGCUUCUUUUGCAACUAAACUUAAAAACACUCUCAUCCAGUACCAUAGCAUUGAAGAAGAUAAGUGGCGAGUUGCUAAGAAAACGAAAGAUGUAACUGUUUGGAGAAAACCCUCAGAAGAAUUUAAUGGAUAUCUGUAAGUAACUUUUUAUAGACUUACACAGCUCUUAAGACAUUUCAAAACUUAUAUCCAUUGUCACUAAGUAGUCAUUGCUAGUAAGAUUUAGCUUUUUAAGAGUUCUUUAACUUU
This 404-nucleotide long non-coding RNA is filed under the name Homo sapiens (human). RNAcentral describes it as "non-protein coding lnc-NREP-1:4". The record is from RNAcentral. Lineage: Eukaryota; Metazoa; Chordata; Mammalia; Primates; Hominidae.